This is a long non-coding RNA of Carassius auratus (goldfish), 2390 nucleotides long. RefSeq lists it as uncharacterized. The transcript is spliced from 3 exons. Lineage: Eukaryota; Metazoa; Chordata; Actinopteri; Cypriniformes; Cyprinidae. The record is from RefSeq and is a predicted model, not a curated record.
GCAAGAUGAAUCAAUACCCAGUUCUAACAGUCAAACUUUUCUCAUGCCUACAUCGUGUUGCGAACAGUGUCAGAUAUGGCCAGCUCUUGUUGAUUGAAAAUCAAAUGUCUUCUGGUCACUUUGCCAGUGCAAAUCGGGAUCAGUGUGAACACCCAGUUACAGAUUGGCAGCAAACACACACACACACCCCCAUCUAAACAGCUCAGCGCAGAUCACACGUAACCAGACAGUAUAUUCUGUGCCUGCUGCCCCUCUUGUUUGUAUUAGGGCAGCUCGGCCUUUCCUGUCAUUGUGCAUGCUGGAGAUAUUGUGUGUUGCUGGGAUCGACUAAGCACUGAAUCACAGAUGAGGACACACGCACACACACACACUCUCACUGCCUGGACGCUGACACAGUUUGACUAGUAAACAGUCUGUUGGCACUAAUCAAGUCAGGGUGAAAGCUGAGAGUUGAGAGAGCGAGAGAGGGGCGAAAACGGUCUCCCUCUGUUCUAUUGAUAGAGCUGUUUGACUGACAGCCGGGAAGGGCAGUGGAAAGAAGGACAUCGGGUUGGCAGCAGAAAGAGAGAAAAAGAGAGACAUAAAGAGAGACAGAUUCAUCAGUAUGCCACAUGAGCCUACAGAUCACACGAACAGAAUGAAAGAGACGAGGAGCAGAAGAUCCAGAAUAAACUCUCAUAUCCUCAAAAUAUAACAGAACGGAACGGAAAUGCAGAACUAAGAGAAGCCCCCACAUCUGAAUAUGACUACCGACCGUUCCCCACCAUCUCACACACUCGGAAUCCUUGGAGACAGAGAAAAGAACAUGGCAGGAAGAGGGAGAAAGAGGGUGGGCGGCAGCCUCCUGUGGCUGGUCAUCGAGUGUUUCCUGUGUGGAUUUUCGUAAUCUCCUAUAAUCUCAGUCACUCACUCACUCACAGGUCUCACACUAAGUGCUGCUGUUAUCUAAACCCUUUAAAACAAAUUUACACCCUCUCACAAGAAUGAGUUACUCACUCCAGCUGAUAACGUUAUCCUCAAACACACACCUGUUGGCACAGAUGUAGCUGACAGUCUCUACAUAGACAAACAAAUCAGUUUGACUGCAUAGAAAGAUGCAUCCAAGAAUUCCCAGAAUGUAAUCAAAUUCCCAAAACAUUGUUAAACAUUAUUCCCUGCUUGGACAUAAAUGAGUUAACUGGCUGUUCAUCCUGCUUAAUGUUUAUCUUGAACGACUGGUAAAAUCAGCCUACAGUAUGUCAAUGCCACUGAUGUUUAAAGAUGUCUUUCUGUCCCUUACGUUUGCAUUACUUCCCACAAAUCAUCUCUGCUUGAAUAACAUGGAUGGAGCCAUCACUGUUGGAGCCGGUUCCAACUGACGAUUCGAAGCAUUACGUUUUGCUUUUAGCUUCAAGCAGAGGAAAUGUCCGCAAUAAAAACAACUAGUUCCAAAUGACUCUUGAGAGUUCUUUAUACUGAAUCAGAAACAUACACAGAGGAGUGUAGUCCAAUUCACUAGCAAAUGACUCUUGUGAGCUAAUUUGUUUGAUGAAUCAUUCAAAAAAUCUACUUUACUAAUACAUUACCAGUUUGAAUCAGCUUGACGAAUGCUUGAUGCUUCCAGAUAAGUUACUGAACUAACAUCUCACUUACUGAAAUGCAAAUGACAUUCUUUUGUGUCCAUCUCAAAAUUAAGCAUAUAUAAAUAUCUGACAAAGGCUAACAUUUAAAUUGUGACAAAUAAUAAGCAAUCUGGAUAGUAGGGAAGAAACCAUCAGAUCGCUGCAUACUAAUUACAUAAAUACACAUCCAUAAUACAAGUCACAGUACAUUAAAAAUCACAGUUUUGUGCUCUUUUUUUGAGCUAAUAUUACACACAAUCUUCCUAUGAAAGAGAAAAGUCAUGUCUAAACUGUGUAUGAACCUGAAAGCAGUUUUAAGAUAACAAAUUCAGCUAAUGUUUACAUGCAAACAGUGCGCAACACAGGUUGGUCUGUGGUAAUCAAGACAGUUUUAUGAUAUGGCACCAAUACUGCAUGCCAAAGUGUGGACUUUCCCCUUAUUAGCAAGGUACAUAAAUUUAAGGCAUAGUCUGGGACAAAUCAAAAUGAAGCCAAAAAAAACGGAACUGAAAAUCAGGGUCUUAUAUCUCUUGUAACAGGUUCUGUUGUCAACAGAAGUCCAAUGGAGAAAAUCACAUUCUCAAAAUGUAACAGCCUCGCAUGGAAAUCAAUAAAAUCUCUGGUUAUUUGAAUAUACUCAAUAAUCGCAUAACAGACUGUGGAUGGUGACCAUUCAGAGAACCUUGUUUUGGACACCUAAAAAGCCAAUUUGCGUGGAAAAUUACCAAUUAGUCAUUGAGAGGACUCUCUUAUCCAGAGUGACAGUUUUUUAACUUAGAAUGAACUGCA